GACGAACGCUGGCGGCGUGCUUAACACAUGCAAGUCGAACGGAAAGGCCCAGCUUGCUGGGUGCUCGAGUGGCGAACGGGUGAGUAACACGUGGGUGAUCUGCCCCUAACUUCGGGAUAAGCUUGGGAAACUGGGUCUAAUACCGGAUAGGACAAUCGUUUAGUGUCGGUUGUGGAAAGUUUUUUCGGUUAGGGAUGAGCCCGCGGCCUAUCAGCUUGUUGGUGGGGUAAUGGCCUACCAAGGCGUCGACGGGUAGCCGGCCUGAGAGGGUGGACGGCCACAUUGGGACUGAGAUACGGCCCAGACUCCUACGGGAGGCAGCAGUGGGGAAUAUUGCGCAAUGGGCGCAAGCCUGAUGCAGCGACGCCGCGUGGGGGAUGACGGCCUUCGGGUUGUAAACCUCUUUCGACAGGGACGAAGCUUUGGUGACGGUACCUGUAUAAGAAGCACCGGCUAACUACGUG
Molecule: ribosomal RNA, 464 nt
Filed under: uncultured bacterium
Lineage: Bacteria
Description: partial 16S ribosomal RNA
Rfam family: Bacterial small subunit ribosomal RNA
Source: RNAcentral